Molecule: ribosomal RNA, 540 nt
Filed under: Fusarium proliferatum
Lineage: Eukaryota; Fungi; Ascomycota; Sordariomycetes; Hypocreales; Nectriaceae
Description: eukaryotic LSU rRNA
Rfam family: Eukaryotic large subunit ribosomal RNA
Source: RNAcentral
GGGAUUGCCCUAGUAACGGCGAGUGAAGCGGCAACAGCUCAAAUUUGAAAUCUGGCUCUCGGGCCCGAGUUGUAAUUUGUAGAGGAUACUUUUGAUGCGGUGCCUUCCGAGUUCCCUGGAACGGGACGCCAUAGAGGGUGAGAGCCCCGUCUGGUUGGAUGCCAAAUCUCUGUAAAGUUCCUUCGACGAGUCGAGUAGUUUGGGAAUGCUGCUCUAAAUGGGAGGUAUAUGUCUUCUAAAGCUAAAUACCGGCCAGAGACCGAUAGCGCACAAGUAGAGUGAUCGAAAGAUGAAAAGCACUUUGAAAAGAGAGUUAAAAAGUACGUGAAAUUGUUGAAAGGGAAGCGUUUAUGACCAGACUUGGGCUUGGUUAAUCAUCUGGGGUUCUCCCCAGUGCACUUUUCCAGUCCAGGCCAGCAUCAGUUUUCCCCGGGGGAUAAAGACUUCGGGAAUGUGGCUCUCUUCGGGGAGUGUUAUAGCCCGUUGUGUAAUACCCUGGGGGGGACUGAGGUUCGCGCAUCUGCAAGGAUGCUGGCGUAA